UCCGUGGGCGCUUUAGGUCCCACCCACGUACUUCCAGGUGCACGUGAUACUGAUGGGGAAGGGUCGGCUGAUUGCUGCCAGGUGCUGACCACCUCCUCUUGGUAGUGCUGUCUGAAAUAACUGGCAAAGUAGAAGCACAUUUCCUGGCUCCUUUUCCCACUUCCUGAAUUGGAGGGUUCACCACCUUAGCCUGUUUCCUUUCGUGUGUCACUGUGGUCCUGGGUCCUCUGCUGCUUUCUCUCAAGGAAACGAGCCCGUGCAUCAGAUAUGGAUUUGUCAUCAUUUCUUCUUUGCAUUUUCUUUAAGACGUCUUUCGAUAUUCCAUCUGAAAAGGAAAAGUUGGAGUAGUUCCUCCCUCCUGGGACGUGCAUCCUUUCUCUUCUGUAAUAACAGAAAAACA
This 400-nucleotide long non-coding RNA is filed under the name Homo sapiens (human). RNAcentral's name for it is "HSALNT0243273". Lineage: Eukaryota; Metazoa; Chordata; Mammalia; Primates; Hominidae. The record is from RNAcentral.